UUGGGUGACCGGCCAUCCUGGUUUGCCUGAGACUGAGGCAUUUCCUGGGUCGUAGGACUUUAAUACUAAAGUCAAGAUAGUC
RNAcentral lists this microRNA precursor (82 nucleotides) under Myotis lucifugus (little brown bat). RNAcentral describes it as "miRNA (ENSMLUG00000021892.2)". Lineage: Eukaryota; Metazoa; Chordata; Mammalia; Chiroptera; Vespertilionidae. The record is from RNAcentral.